Molecule: transfer RNA, 81 nt
Filed under: Pirellulaceae bacterium
Lineage: Bacteria; Pseudomonadati; Planctomycetota; Planctomycetia; Pirellulales; Pirellulaceae
Description: tRNA-Tyr
Rfam family: tRNA
About the family: Transfer RNA (tRNA) molecules are approximately 80 nucleotides in length. Their secondary structure includes four short double-helical elements and three loops (D, anti-codon, and T loops).
Source: RNAcentral
GGGAGGUUACCCGAGUGGCCAAAGGGGACAGACUGUAAAUCUGUUGCGCAAGCUUCGAAGGUUCGAAUCCUUCACCUCCCA